GCCCGUCACUCUCCCCGAAUACAGGCCCUAUAAUAAAUAAAAAGCUACUCAAAAGAAGGGGAGGCAAGUCGUAACAUGGUAAGUGUACCGGAAGGUGCAC
Molecule: ribosomal RNA, 100 nt
Filed under: Melanotaenia duboulayi (Duboulay's rainbowfish)
Lineage: Eukaryota; Metazoa; Chordata; Actinopteri; Atheriniformes; Melanotaeniidae
Description: partial 12S ribosomal RNA
Source: RNAcentral